This 67-nucleotide non-coding RNA is filed under the name Clostridium sp. HMb25. Lineage: Bacteria; Bacillati; Bacillota; Clostridia; Eubacteriales; Clostridiaceae. The record is from RNAcentral.
AGCCGAAACGCCCCUCGGGGCGUCAUCGAGGGGGAGCCCGCCCUCGAUCUGAUGAUGGCAGGGCACG